GUAGGUGAACCUGCGGAAGGAUCAUUACCGUGAUGCAGUCGUCGACACUAGUCUUCGAUCAACGCACACACGCACAUUUCGUACGGACAGCGCACAAGGCGAGCCCGAAAGGCUGGCCGCGGCGCGACGCCGCGUGACGUUACUGUUGCACUCUUGCAGCACGCCGCACGGCGCCGUCGCCAAAACGACACGGUUGUCGCGCGUUUCGGGGUACCUGUCCGGCGCCGUCUCUGCGCCGGGUGAGCGGCGGACGGUGUCGUCGUUUCGCGUCGUCUCUGCGCGAUCCGACGUUCGCCGACCGCACGGCGACGGUUCAAAGAACUAACCGGUUGCUGCUCGGCAGGCAGUCGGUCCGUCGCCCCGUACGCGUAUGUUUUUUCCGUCUUAUUUUCACUACAGUCGCUAUACGAAUCGUAGUCGUCCGUCGUCGUCGGCGUUCGCACGUCGGCGGCGGCCACGACUACCGAGUUCUGUGACAGACAAACAUCAUAUAACUCUAAGCGGUGGAUCACUCGGCUCGUGUGUCGAUGAAGAGCGCAGCCAGCUGCGUGAAGUAAUGUGAAUUGCAGGACACAUUGAACAUCGAUAUCUUGAACGCACAUUGCGGCCUCGGGCAUUCUCGAGGCCACGCCUGUCUCAGGGUCGGUUGAAAGUAUCUAUCGCGAGUCGUCUCUUGCUCGCGCAGUGGACCGUCGCGGCGGCGGCGCAACAAUGUUCGGUCGUCUCUUGCCGGUCGUUGUAGCCUGUUGUGGCGUCGUCCGAAAUUCAGACGGUUCGCGUCGUGGAAACGACGCGAUACCGCACGUCUCGAUACCGCUUCGUCGAGGGAUCAGCGGGACGGUUGCUCGGAUGCACUAGUUCUAAGAACCGUCGUCGCUGCUCUCGUCAUCGUCGUCGUCGGUCUGACGCGCAUAUCUCUACUAACGAUUUUCGACCUGAGAUCAGACGAGAUCACCCGCUGAAUUU
This 966-nucleotide ribosomal RNA is filed under the name Rhyacodrilus pigueti. RNAcentral's name for it is "eukaryotic LSU rRNA". The stretch from base 493 to 645 matches the Rfam family "5.8S ribosomal RNA". The record is from RNAcentral. Lineage: Eukaryota; Metazoa; Annelida; Clitellata; Tubificida; Naididae.